UACAGAGGUCCCAAGCGUUUGUUCGGAUUCACUGGGCGUAAAGGGUGCGUAGGUGGCGAAGUAAGUCGGAUGUGAAAUCUCCGAGCUCAACUCGGAAACUGCAUUGGAAACUACUUUGCUUGAGGGUCGGAGGGGGGACUGGAAUUCUCGGUGUAGCAGUGAAAUGCGUAGAUAUCGAGAGGAACACCAGUGGCGAAGGCGAGUCCCUGGACGACUCCUGACACUGAGGCACGAAAGCUAGGGGAGCAAACAGG
RNAcentral lists this ribosomal RNA (254 nucleotides) under uncultured bacterium. RNAcentral describes it as "partial 16S ribosomal RNA". It matches the Rfam family "Bacterial small subunit ribosomal RNA", at positions 524 to 776 of the family's 1533-position model. The record is from RNAcentral.